GAUGAACGCUGGCGGCGUGCCUAAUACAUGCAAGUCGAGCGAACAGACGAGGAGCUUGCUCCUCUGACGUUAGCGGCGGACGGGUGAGUAACACGUGGAUAACCUACCUAUAAGACUGGGAUAACUUCGGGAAACCGGAGCUAAUACCGGAUAAUAUAUUGAACCGCAUGGUUCAAUAGUGAAAGACGGUUUUGCUGUCACUUAUAGAUGGAUCCGCGCCGCAUUAGCUAGUUGGUAAGGUAACAGCUUACCAAGGCAACGAUGCGUAGCCGACCUGAGAGGGUGAUCGGCCACACUGGAACUGAGACACGGUCCAGACUCCUACGGGAGGCAGCAGUAGGGAAUCUUCCGCAAUGGGCGAAAGCCUGACGGAGCAACGCCGCGUGAAUGAUGAAGGUCUUCGGAUCGUAAAACUCUGUUAUUAGGGAAGAACAAAUGUGUAAGUAACUAUGCACGUCUUGACGGUACCUAAUCAGAAAGCCACGGCUAACUACGUG
RNAcentral lists this ribosomal RNA (497 nucleotides) under uncultured bacterium. RNAcentral's name for it is "partial 16S ribosomal RNA". It matches the Rfam family "Bacterial small subunit ribosomal RNA", at positions 28 to 507 of the family's 1533-position model. The record is from RNAcentral.